UUGGUUAAUAUACACUGAGAAGUGUCAAGUC
This 31-nucleotide non-coding RNA is filed under the name Mus musculus (house mouse). The record is from RNAcentral. Lineage: Eukaryota; Metazoa; Chordata; Mammalia; Rodentia; Muridae.